RNAcentral lists this non-coding RNA (138 nucleotides) under uncultured Ruminococcus sp. Its description in RNAcentral is "THF riboswitch". It matches the Rfam family "THF (Tetrahydrofolate) riboswitch aptamer". From Rfam's summary of the family: THF riboswitch presents a pseudoknot that joins P1-P2 and the loop of P3 and two THF binding. Lineage: Bacteria; Bacillati; Bacillota; Clostridia; Eubacteriales; Oscillospiraceae. The record is from RNAcentral.
CAGAGUAAAAGAAUACGCGUUAAGUGUUUGCCGAACGGGGAGUUGACGGCAAAACGAAGGGAACGCAGCCUGAUGAUGACAUCUUAUCAAUGUCGGAUACAGAAGCGUACCUGCGGUGUAUUCUUUGCAUCCCGCUGU